GACGAACGCUGGCGGCGUGCCUAACACAUGCAAGUCGAACGGAAAGGCCCUGCUUUUGUGGGGUGCUCGAGUGGCGAACGGGUGAGUAACACGUGAGUAACCUGCCCUUGACUUUGGGAUAACUUCAGGAAACUGGGGCUAAUACCGGAUAGGAGCUCCUGCUGCAUGGUGGGGGUUGGAAAGUUUCGGCGGUUGGGGAUGGACUCGCGGCUUAUCAGCUUGUUGGUGGGGUAGUGGCUUACCAAGGCUUUGACGGGUAGCCGGCCUGAGAGGGUGACCGGCCACAUUGGGACUGAGAUACGGCCCAGACUCCUACGGGAGGCAGCAGUGGGGAAUAUUGCACAAUGGGCGGAAGCCUGAUGCAGCAACGCCGCGUGCGGGAUGACGGCCUUCGGGUUGUAAACCGCUUUCGCCUGUGAGGAAGCGUGAGUGACGGUAAUGGGUAAAGAAGCACCGGCUAACUACGUG
RNAcentral lists this ribosomal RNA (468 nucleotides) under uncultured bacterium. RNAcentral's name for it is "partial 16S ribosomal RNA". It matches the Rfam family "Bacterial small subunit ribosomal RNA", at positions 28 to 507 of the family's 1533-position model. The record is from RNAcentral.